RNAcentral lists this long non-coding RNA (1214 nucleotides) under Vigna radiata. RNAcentral's name for it is "long non-coding RNA (VRAD_LNC006689)". Lineage: Eukaryota; Viridiplantae; Streptophyta; Magnoliopsida; Fabales; Fabaceae. The record is from RNAcentral.
CACACAUGGCACGAAUCUGAGAACUACACAGUCGAAGAACCUCGCAUUUCAGAAGGAAACAAAAACCUACUUGAGUGGGAAGAAGGGGCGAAGCACUUGGGGUGUGAAAAUUAGGGCAAAAGGGGGCGUUGCUUGCGGUCCUUGCAACAGCUGCAACUCAAAUCCUUUGAGUGGGGAAUGAUGAGAUAGGCAAUGGGGUUGAGUGAAAGUGGUGAUUAAUUUAGGGAAAGUGUGUGUGGGCUGAAGAGUGGGGUUUUUGGGCGGCUUGAAAUUGAAAAUGGGCGUGAGUUGAUGGAGUCUGAGAUGGUGAGGGUUAAGUUAGGGUUGAGAGCGGCUUGGACGUAAAAAGGGGAGUGAAUGAGAGUGUUCAGAUGUGGAAUGAAAGAGGUAGGGGUUUAAAGAAGUGGGUUGGGCCAUGCACUGUGCAACCAGGCCUAAAAAGCGCAGGUUCUGUGACAGCAGGUCGCACGCCCGGGCGCCCCUGGGAGAAGGGUGCUUGAGCGCCAUAUCAGAACCUGGUUCUGCAGAACUUUGGCAGUUGUGCCUGCACGUCGCGCGCCCGGGCGCCCCUAGGAGGAGGGCGCUUGAGCGCCAUACCAGAACUUAGUUCUGCUGCAAUUUUGGCAACUCAACAUGCUCUUUUUGGAAUUUGAUGAUUCUUGAAGUUCAAUUCAACCCAGAUUGCUAAGUUAUGGUCAUUCAAACUUGGUCAAAUCCAGAGAGAGUGAAAUUGGGUGCCAGAAUGGGAAAUUAAGUGCACACUUCCUAAGCUUUGUAAUGAACACUCAAAAGUGAAUUUAGGCAUGCACAACAACAUACUGAGAACUAGCAGUCCAGAACACACCAAACAUUUCCAAUUACUUCAAACAACCCAAUUCACAACAACACUUAACCAUUACACUAAUGCAGCUAUUGACACCGUACUAACAAAACGUGAAAAAUCACAUAAUUUUAACUCAAACACAUAGUCCAAAACAACCAAUCAGCACUUAAAACACAUCAAACCACUUUCACAAAAUCAAACAACAAAAUCAGAAAUAAGAAAAGGGUCAAAAGGCUGGGUUGCCUCCCAGUAAGCGCUUGUUUAACGUCAUGAGCCUGACACAGUUAUGCUCAAGGGUCAGAGAGAUGGAUAAUUGUGGUGAGACGCUGAAUCUCACCACCCAAGUAAUGUUUCAACCGCUGACCAUUUACCACCCAACUUCUUUCUGGAU